GUUCAAAUAGCUUAUACAGAGCAUAACACUGAAGAUGUUAGGGAGAUUUCAGGAUCUUUGAGCA
This 64-nucleotide transfer RNA is filed under the name unidentified. RNAcentral describes it as "Epeorus sp. 03 ZXM-2022a tRNA-Phe". The record is from RNAcentral.